AAUUUUGGACAAUGGGGGAAACCCUGAUCCAGCCAUCCCGCGUGUAUGAUGAAGGUCUUCGGAUUGUAAAGCACUUUAAGUUGGGAGGAAGAGUUGUAGGCUAAUACCUUGCAAUUUUGACGUUACCAACAGAAUAAGCACCGGCUAACUUCGUUCCAGCAGCCGCGGUAAUACGAAGGGUGCAAGCGUUAAUCGUAAUUACUGGGCGUAAAGCGCGCGUAGGGGGUUCGUUAAGUUGGAAGUGAAAGCCCCGGGCUUAAAAUGGGAAUUGCUUUCAAAACUGACGAGCUAGAGUACGGUAGAGGGUAGUGGAAUUUCCUGUGUAGAGGUGAAAUGCGUAGAUAUAGGAAGGAACAUCAGUGGCGAAGGCGACUACCUGGACUGAUACUGACACUGAGGUGCGAAAGAGUGGGGAGCAAACAGG
Molecule: ribosomal RNA, 424 nt
Filed under: uncultured bacterium
Lineage: Bacteria
Description: partial 16S ribosomal RNA
Rfam family: Bacterial small subunit ribosomal RNA
Source: RNAcentral